RNAcentral lists this long non-coding RNA (539 nucleotides) under Triticum aestivum (bread wheat). RNAcentral describes it as "long non-coding RNA (TAES_LNC011059)". Lineage: Eukaryota; Viridiplantae; Streptophyta; Magnoliopsida; Poales; Poaceae. The record is from RNAcentral.
UAGAAGCACUCAAAGAACGCAAAGAUUUGCAAAGGUACGCCAAUGGCACGUACGCAAUACGGACAUCAGUAAUACUUUAUACAUUUUGAAAGAGGCACACGGUUGUAAGCAUAUUUUUAACAUAUGCAGAAGAAGUACUAACAGUGCAAAUCAAUCACGUAGUCGUCCCAUUCGAUGUCGAAGAUGCGCAAAAAAGGGCAAAAACAAAAGUCCAGGUGGAACACUCUGCUAAUGGAACGCAAGAAACAUGUGAGCAGGAAUACGUCGUAAAGGUAAAGUAAAAAAAACAAAAACAAUUCAAAGUAGAGCAGACAUCGAUGGGCAAGCCAAAGGUGAUACCGUCAGUGGAACACAGGAAGCAGAAAAAACAUCCCGUCUUGCAGCAGAACUCGAAGAAGUACAGAGACAGAAGCAUCUUCUGCAGCAAGCAAGUCGCUUCGUAGAGAAGAAAAUCCAAAAAGCACACAAACUUGUAGACUCGGCAAGGUACGCAGCUUUCAAAGCAUAUAUAGCAAGCGGAGAAAGCAGCAUCCAAAAAG